GGGUUCGCGUUGUUUAGGCUUUAGUUUUCUAUGUUGUAUCUUCUGUAAUAUUAUUUGGGUUUUUUUGUCUUUUUAUUUUUAGCCAUGGCGUUGUCAGUUUAUUUUCAAUCUAUCAGUUUGACUGUCCCUCUGGUAUAAUUUGUCCCUCUUUUAUUAGAUUAAUAUAUUUUAUAAGUCAGAAUUUUGAGAAAAUCAUCUGCAUACAUUUCCAUUGUAACAUAUUUCAAAUGAUGUUUUGUCCUAUUUCAUGAAUGUCUUCAAAUCUUCAAUGUGAACUAUUUUAUAAUGUUUUUGGUAACUCUGACAAAAACAUUUCAUUCCUAGUUUAACAG
Molecule: long non-coding RNA, 332 nt
Filed under: Mytilus galloprovincialis (Mediterranean mussel)
Lineage: Eukaryota; Metazoa; Mollusca; Bivalvia; Mytilida; Mytilidae
Source: RNAcentral